GAUGAACGCUGGCGGCGUGCCUAAUACAUGCAAGUCGAGCGAACAGAUGAGGAGCUUGCUCCUCUGACGUUAGCGGCGGACGGGUGAGUAACACGUGGAUAACCUACCUAUAAGACUGGGAUAACUUCGGGAAACCGGAGCUAAUACCGGAUAAUAUAUUGAACCGCAUGGUUCAAUAGUGAAAGACGGUUUUGCUGUCACUUAGAGAUGGAUCCGCGCCGCAUUAGCUAGUUGGUAAGGUAACGGCUUACCAAGGCAACGAUGCGUAGCCGACCUGAGAGGGUGAUCGGCCACACUGGAACUGAGACACGGUCCAGACUCCUACGGGAGGCAACAGUAGGGAAUCUUCCGCAAUGGGCGAAAGCCUGACGGAGCAACGCCGCGUGAGUGAUGAGGGUCUUCGGAUCGUAAAACUCUGUUAUUAGGGAAGAACAAAUGUGUAAGUAACUAUGCACGUCUUGACGGUACCUAAUCAGAAAGCCACGGCUAACUACGUG
RNAcentral lists this ribosomal RNA (497 nucleotides) under uncultured bacterium. Its description in RNAcentral is "partial 16S ribosomal RNA". It matches the Rfam family "Bacterial small subunit ribosomal RNA", at positions 28 to 507 of the family's 1533-position model. The record is from RNAcentral.